AAAGCACAACUCAAGUGCGUCUCAGCAUCCUCCCUUGAAUCCGUACUACUCUGUUAACAGAAAUCCUUGUGAAGACAGGCUAGCUCUGAGCAAGGUGCAGCUCAGUAACAGUAGAGCCAAACUUACCUAUUCGAAUAUAAAGUAUUUUUAUUCUGAGCUGCAUCAUCCUUAGGGAAAUAGUAAAAGUGCCUUUUCUAGCAAUUAACUGGAAAACAGGUGUCUGUAACUUCACUUAUCUUCCUUAGUGGAAAGGAAGAGGAGAAUCAAGAAGAGGAAAGAUGAAAUAUGUAUAAAGAAAAAAAAGAAGGAAAAGAAUUUUCUACAGAAUAUACAGUGCUGUCUUGUCCCUUCUGGAUCACGGCUAUAUUUGCAGUGUGCAGCGGAGGAAAACCAGCCUAAGAAGAACCAGCAGCAGGGCUCUGAAGCCAGAAUGCGCAGUGUGGGCUAUUUCCUGCACAUGUCCCAGCAGAGUACUGUUGGGAAUGCACGCACAGCUAACCAGUCCCACUGCUCAUUGAAUUUAUUUAUCUGGAAAGGAAAACGUCUGGGAAGAGAACUGUGA
RNAcentral lists this long non-coding RNA (562 nucleotides) under Phasianus colchicus (ring-necked pheasant). Its description in RNAcentral is "lncRNA (ENSPCLG00000004198.1)". Lineage: Eukaryota; Metazoa; Chordata; Aves; Galliformes; Phasianidae. The record is from RNAcentral.